RNAcentral lists this ribosomal RNA (465 nucleotides) under Sus scrofa (pig). Its description in RNAcentral is "partial 16S ribosomal RNA". It matches the Rfam family "Bacterial large subunit ribosomal RNA", at positions 1832 to 2517 of the family's 2925-position model. Lineage: Eukaryota; Metazoa; Chordata; Mammalia; Artiodactyla; Suidae. The record is from RNAcentral.
AGCAUUACUAGUAUUAGAGGCAAUGCCUGCCCAGUGACACCAGUUUAACGGCCGCGGUAUUCUGACCGUGCAAAGGUAGCAUAAUCACUUGUUCUCCAAAUAAGGACUUGUAUGAAUGGCCACACGAGGGUUUUACUGUCUCUUACUUCCAAUCAGUGAAAUUGACCUUCCCGUGAAGAGGCGGGAAUAAAAAAAUAAGACGAGAAGACCCUAUGGAGCUUUAAUUAACUAUUCCAAAAGUUAAACAAUUCAACCACAAAGGGAUAAAACAUAACUUAACAUGGACUAGCAAUUUCGGUUGGGGUGACCUCGGAGUACAAAAAACCCUCCGAGUGAUUUUAAUCUAGACAAACCAGUCAAAAUAACCAUAACAUCACUUAUUGAUCCAAAAUUUUGAUCAACGGAACAAGUUACCCUAGGGAUAACAGCGCAAUCCUAUUCUAGAGUCCCUAUCGACAAUAGGGU